Molecule: transfer RNA, 72 nt
Filed under: Chitinophaga nivalis
Lineage: Bacteria; Pseudomonadati; Bacteroidota; Chitinophagia; Chitinophagales; Chitinophagaceae
Description: tRNA-Ala
Rfam family: tRNA
About the family: Transfer RNA (tRNA) molecules are approximately 80 nucleotides in length.
Source: RNAcentral
AGCGGGGUAGCUCAAAGGAAGAGCAUUGUCACUGCAUGACAGGGGAUAGCGGUUCGAUUCCGUUUCCGGCUA